CCAAAAAAAGUGUGUGGAUCCUUAAUGUUUGCCAACACGGGAAAUUAAUAUUAACAUCAUAAGCUAAGAUCAAGCAGUAUUCAAGAAAAAAAAAAAAAAGUUUUUGGGAAUCUAUUCCCCCCAAAAUUACAAUCCAACACGGCUGUUUCAUUGAGUAACAUGACUUUGUUGAGUUGAAAUUUGAGCUUGUGAGCUUGGUCCAGUGCCUUCAUCCGGUUGAGCUUGUGAGCUUGCAUCCUUGCCUCCUCCUUUUGAGCCUCUUCUUGCUCUCUUCCUUGAACCAUCACC
RNAcentral lists this long non-coding RNA (288 nucleotides) under Salvia miltiorrhiza (redroot sage). Its description in RNAcentral is "long non-coding RNA (SMIL_LNC011431)". Lineage: Eukaryota; Viridiplantae; Streptophyta; Magnoliopsida; Lamiales; Lamiaceae. The record is from RNAcentral.